RNAcentral lists this ribosomal RNA (528 nucleotides) under uncultured euryarchaeote. Its description in RNAcentral is "bacterial SSU rRNA". It matches the Rfam family "Archaeal small subunit ribosomal RNA", at positions 354 to 882 of the family's 1478-position model. Lineage: Archaea; Methanobacteriati; Methanobacteriota. The record is from RNAcentral.
CAUGCGCGAAAGCGUGAUAAGGAGACUCCGAGUGCUAGCGGGAAACCGUUAGCUUUUUUUGAGUAUAGAUAGCUCGAAGAAUAAGGACUGGGCAAGACCCGUGCCAGCCGCCGCGGUAAUACGGGCAGUUCAAGUGGUAUCCGUGCAUAUUGGGCUUAAAGCGUCCGUAGCUCGUUUGGAAAGUCUUUGGUGAAAGCUCGCAGCUCAACUGCGAGAAGGGCCAGGGAAACUUCCAGACUCGGAGGCGGGAGAGGUCAGGGGUACUUAUAGGGUAGCGGUAAAAUGUGUUAAUCCCGUAAGGACCACCGGUAGCGAAGGCGCCUGACUAGAACGCGCUCGACAGUGAGGGACGAAGGCCAGGGGAGCAACCCGGAUUAGAUACCCGGUUAGUCCUGGCAGUAAAUGAUGCAGACUAGGUGUCAUUCAACCCACGUGGUUGUGUGGUGCCGAAGGGAAACCGUUAAGUCUGCCGCCUGGGGAGUAUGGUCGCAAGACUGAAACUUAAAGGAAUUGCGGGGGGGAAAAAAC